Molecule: long non-coding RNA, 608 nt
Organism: Leptonychotes weddellii (Weddell seal)
Lineage: Eukaryota; Metazoa; Chordata; Mammalia; Carnivora; Phocidae
Source: RefSeq, a predicted model, not a curated record
CGGUGGGCGCGCUGAGGGACGUGAAAAGACGGACCCGGGGGCUGUCAGGGCGGGGCCCAACACGCCUAGACGACGCCCCAGCCCUCUCGACACCGCCCUCCGUCCCUGGGCUCCACCCUCCGCCCCCUCCGGGUCCUGGACCCGGCCGGAGGCCCCGUUCCCCGAGACCUGGGGACGGGGAGGGGGUCUACCCAUUCUUCCGCGGAGAGGUGUGGCCCCCUGGGAGGGAGUCCUGCUCAAGCACAUCCUUGCUCCAGGACCACCUGUGGUUGGGAUCAUCAGCUGUGCCUGCCUGCCUCUCACCUGGGGAGGUCAGUCAAGAAGGAGCAACUCUGGGACCGCAGCCCCUGCGCGAGUCCUGGCCGUGGGAUCGGAUGGAGCAGCCUUUGGCUUUCGUUUUCCGUGUUCGCCUCCUCGACCCCCUUUACUUACUGGGUCAUCGGGCUUUUCCUCGUGGACGGCUUCAAGCUCUCUGUAUGUUCGCGAGAUGGGCCCUGAGUCACAUCUUGCUGCUAUUUUUCCCCCCACUUUGUCACUUGUCCCUUGACUUUGUGGUUUGGGGCUUGUGUUUGGUCAGGCAGACAAUUUUAGUUUUUGUGUCAUCGGAC